Molecule: long non-coding RNA, 1729 nt
Organism: Humulus lupulus (European hop)
Lineage: Eukaryota; Viridiplantae; Streptophyta; Magnoliopsida; Rosales; Cannabaceae
Exons: 2
Source: RefSeq, a predicted model, not a curated record
UUUAAUUUUUUUUUCCAGUUAACCUUAACGGAAUAUUCUCAUAUUUAACAUAAUAUUAUUAUAUUUAAUAGUAGAUGUGUGAAACCUGAGACUUUUCUCAGGUUGGAAAAGUCAAAAAGGGAAGGAAAAUAAAGAAAAAAUAUAUAUUUUAAUUUAAUUAUAUAUUCAGUUUUUUUUUCUUUUCUUUUUCUCUCUCUCCCCGACACUCUCCUCCUCUUCUUCUUCUUCUCUCGGCAUCCCAUGGCAAGGCACCAGACCCAACCACCACCGCCCACCAUUUUUGACGUGCGGCAGCUCAUCGGUUUCGCCUUGCUCCGGCGACCUCAGCUGCCAAGCGGCACCGCCCAACUCGCCGUCAAUCGUUCGGAAUCGCCAGUCAAAGUUUUGGUCCAUCAACUUUGACUGUGUUUUUCGGCCAACUCCGACCACCUCUUGACGAGUGGUUGAUACCCUUGGAACCAGCGUGGAGAGAGGAACAAAACCCACUAAUUCAUUCCAGUCAACUCGCCGUUUUUCUCCCGCAAGAUUUUAGGUAUCUCCGCCCUUUGGAAGCGUUUUCCGGCGACACCGGAGGUCAUUUGGGCAAAGGAGCUGUACUUUCGUGAUGUACUCAUCGAGAGGAUCGUUUUGAUAUAUGCUAUGCAUAUAUUCGUCGACGUUUCCGGUACCGCCACCAACCGCUAUAGUGCACCGCUUGGGAAAAGCGUGAUAUUAAAAUCGGACUAAAUCAUUCUAAGAUCAUCGAUAAGCUUAGGAGCGUUGCUUUGGGCUCGGAUUGAAUUCUAAGGAGGUAUCUAAAGAGGUAGGGACUCAACUAGACUAUUGGACUUAUUUUACUCGUAUUAAAUUGCAUUCAACAUAUUCCAAUUUUGAUAUUUAUAAAAUGUUUGAAAAAUUGAAAACUUAACCUGCAUAUUUUCUGAUCUGUUCUGAGGGCACUGAGUGUCAAAUAUAUAUUUUUGUUCACUUAUUUAUGCAGGUUAUGAUUUUGAGUUUAUUCAAAUGUAGCUGUUAUGCUGCCCAAUUUUCUAGAAUAUAAAGGGAAUAUGUUUCUUUCUUUUCAUGUUUACCUGCAUUUGGUUAUACCGAUGAGAGCCAUAGUGAUCAUGAUUGGUGCACGUUGUUGUUUCACGACCUAGUCUCUGUGUUAUCAUAGGUAGAUUAGGUGUCCACUCACCUGUAGGUGUAAAGACCUAGCAUCUGUAUACAGGAAGUGUUUUGAGCCUCCCCCUUGUGGUAGUUAUCAGGUCCGGCUACCCGGUUUAGGAUGUCGGAUUUUCUAUGGUGGGUAACGGGAACUAGGGAUCUAGUGGACGGUGUGAUGUGCACUUGUAGCUAUGCUCUUAUGAUUAUUUGUGGUCUCUCUAUUUUGGUUUAUACAUGAUGAUGUAUGUUUUGUUUUAAAAAGCUAACCAUGCAGGGGUUUUUAUUGAACUUUUGAGUCCUAUGUUGUUAGUUGCUUUCCUACUGGGCUUUAUAAGCUCACCCUUAUCUCUCCCAUUCCAGGAGCCUAGUGACGCGAACGUGGAAAAGUAUGAAUUAUUGCUGAAGCAAAUGUGUUUAGUGCCAUAGUCCUAUCUUUUGAACAUUGUAUGUAUUUAAUUUGGAACCUAUCGCUCUGUACAUCUAAAUUAGCUAUGUCCUAGUUAGAAAUGAGGAAUGGUGGAUGCUAAGUAUUAUUUUGGGUAUUUUAUGACUUAUUAAAUUUAACUGUUUGGUGACUACAUAA